Molecule: long non-coding RNA, 1683 nt
Organism: Girardinichthys multiradiatus
Lineage: Eukaryota; Metazoa; Chordata; Actinopteri; Cyprinodontiformes; Goodeidae
Exons: 7
Source: RefSeq, a predicted model, not a curated record
ACUGCGCAAUAAAAAAUAAAUCUGGCCAGGCACCCUGCGGACAACCAUAUAGGGUCCUUUUGUGUAGUCUUUUAGUCAUUACUAUGGAAACAGUUCUACAACGUACAGUCCUUGGGCACAACCUUUAGCCAGCCUUCAGCUGAGCACAGCAAACACAAAACAUAUAAAGAUUACAAACAUUUUUGUUUUAUAAUUGAUCUUGAACUGUAGGAGAUGUCCUCAGACCGAGACGUUAAACUUCCGCCGUAACCGCGAUCGCAAAAAGAAAGCCCAACACAUGACCACACUUUGCAAAAAGGCUUUGCUCAGAAGGAUCAUGAAAUUGGAGCAGAUUUUACUGGGAACACUUUUUCAAAGAGGAAGCAGCCACCUGUAUGCAGGCCCAGGGAGAAAGCCUCAGCUCCUGAUGCAGCUGGAAAGCUACGUGAAGAAGGAGCUGCAGGUCAUCAGCAUAGACCAGCCAAACUUUCAGGAACUGAAACUUGAGGUCUACCGUCAGCUGUGUAGUCAGUGCUUUUAGAACGUACCAGCCUCUUCUUUCUGCCAUCAAAAAGGAAUAUGAAAACACUUUGGAAGCUACACCUGGCCUGACUCUGUGUCUACCUGUGACACCUUUCUGGAGAGGGGCAUCGUCCGAGCUUCUGCUAGCAACAACUUAAUGCCUUUGUGUUAUUUUUGGUCAGCAGCGGUUUGGGCAUUUUUUUGUCUCUCACUUAGUGUCAAAUCAUGAACUUUGACCUUAAAUGAGGCAGUGAGGCCUGCAGAGCUUUAGGUGUUUUUCUGGGUUCUUUUCUGACCUCUGCAGUAAUUUUGAUAGGCCAGUCACUCCAGGGAAGGUUCUCCAAUGUUCCAUUUUUCUCUGUUUGUGGACAAUGGUUCUCACUGUGGUUCUCUGAAGUCCAAAAGCCUUAGACUUUGUUUUUCAUCUGUUCUUGAGUUUUUUUUUUACGUAGGGGCAUGAUGUGUUGCUUUUUGAGACCUUUUAGGUGAUUUCUUGAUGCUAGAGGUCUGGCAGCAAGCAGGCCUGGCUGUUGCUGGUGAAACUGAACCACAAAAAGUUGGUUAAUCAUAGUUAUUGAUUUAACAAGAGGACCAAAUAAAGAUGGGAAUUAUCAGUUUCUUGAAAUCUUGAAAAUCACAUUAAUGUUGCUUUUUAUGGGAGGGGUUCCAGCUGAAGGCACUUCAGGAUAGCUUCCAUCAGUUGUGGGCUGAGUAUGACACCCUGCAGGAGCUCCACAAAAGAAGCAUUGUACAAACCAAGACAAACAUCUCAACCGCUGUGCAGACAGAGGAUAGUGAGUCUCAUGUGCGAAGCCACAACCAGUUAGACCAUAAAGACGAACUGAUUAACAUUGAUGAUGUUUCUAAGAACAGCAGAAUCUGUGCCCUGGAGUCGAGGAAGACCGUGAAGACAGCAGAGUCACAUGAAAAAACACAUGAACAUGUGACUGUGGGUCAGAACAAAGCUGACGGCAGCAGUGAUGACCUCCUCUCUGAGACUCCAACAUGAAGCGGAAUAUUCAGAUACUGAGCUUUUGUUGUCCCAACAAUGUGUUUGUUGUAACAAACCAAAGUACAAAAAAAAAACAAUAUAUAUGUAUAUAUAUAUAUAUAUAUAUAUAUAUAUAGACUCCAGUACACUUUGUUCUUUGGUUUUGUUUUUGUAUUACAGAAUAUACAUAU